GGGAAGUGUAGAUCUUCUCAGUGAAAUUAAUGAAGGAACUUUUUCCCCAAGACAGGGAAAGAAGCACCACAGGGAAGAAGCAACUAAUAAAAACAAAGGAAAUCAAAAACCCCAGGGAAAGGAAAAUAAUAGAUCUGCUGAGAAUUACAUGGCUGAGAUGUCCUUAAGGCCCUGAAAAGAAUGGAGACCAUCUGAAAGAGCUGCUGUAAGGAAUAGGAAGGAGCUAUUUAUGGAUGCAGUAAAGGAUCAGGAUCUAACAAAGUGGAAUAUGUGAGUUUAUAGCAGCUGUUUUCACCACUUUUCUUUGAGGUGAUAGCAAAUUAUUCAAAUUUUAAAUUUUCCUGAAAUUAAUAAUAUU
This 358-nucleotide long non-coding RNA is filed under the name Vulpes vulpes (red fox). RNAcentral describes it as "lncRNA (ENSVVUG00000018727.1)". Lineage: Eukaryota; Metazoa; Chordata; Mammalia; Carnivora; Canidae. The record is from RNAcentral.